AUGGGAGCUGGGAUGAAGCGCUCGAGGGACGAGGAGGUAUUGUCGCUGGCGCUGGCACUGACCACGGACUCAUCGACGUCGUCUACGACUUCAGCGGACUCAGCCGGGUCACCGGCCAAGAAAGCACGGCGACGCACGAGGGGCGCCGUGGUGGCGACGUCGGGUGAGGGGGAGUUCGUGUGCAAGACGUGUGGCCGUGCCUUUGCCUCCUUCCAGGCGCUAGGCGGGCACCGGACGAGCCACCUUCGGGGCCGCCACGAGCUGGAGCUCGGUGUCGGCGUCGCCAAGGCAAUCAGAGAACGGAGAAGACGGGAGAACAAGCAGCACGAGUGCAACAUCUGCGGCAUGGGGUUCGAGACGGGCCAGGCGCUCGGGGGACACAUGAGGCGUCACCGCGAGGAGAUGGCACUGCGCGGCGGCCACGAUGGCGUAGCGCUACUGCCGGAUCAGGUGGUGACGGGGCACCAGGCCACUACCAAGCAGCCGCCCGUCUUGCUCAAGCUGUUCGUCUAG
RNAcentral lists this ribosomal RNA (513 nucleotides) under Triticum aestivum (bread wheat). Its description in RNAcentral is "partial small subunit ribosomal RNA". The record is from RNAcentral. Lineage: Eukaryota; Viridiplantae; Streptophyta; Magnoliopsida; Poales; Poaceae.